Molecule: ribosomal RNA, 406 nt
Filed under: uncultured bacterium
Lineage: Bacteria
Description: partial 16S ribosomal RNA
Rfam family: Bacterial small subunit ribosomal RNA
Source: RNAcentral
AUUGAACGCUGGCGGCAGGCCUAACACAUGCAAGUCGAACGAGUGGCGGACGGGUGAGCAAUGUCCGGGAAACUGCCUGAUGGACGGGGAUAACUACUGGAAAAGGUAGCUAAUACCGCAUACCAUCAGAUGUGCCCAGAUGGGAUUAGCUAGUAGGUGGGGUAACGGCUCACCUAGGCGACGAUCCCUAGCUGGUCUGAGAGGAUGACCAGCCACACGGGAACUGAGACACGGUCCAGACUCCUACGGGAGGCAGCGGUGGGGAAUAUUGCACAAUGGGCGCAAGCCUGAUGCAGCCAUGCCGCGUGUGUGAAGAGGGCCUUCGGGUUGUAAAGCACUGUCAGCGGGGAGGCGUUACCCGCAGAAGAAGCACCGGCUAACUCCGUGCCAGCAGCCGCGGUAAUUC